AACGGAGGGUGCAAGCGUUGUUCGGAAUUACUGGGCGUAAAGCGCGUGCAGGCGGUUUUUUAAGUUUCAUGUGAAAUCCCCCGGCUUAACCGGGGAACUGCGUGGAAAGCUGGAAAACUUGAAUUCGGGAGAAGAAGGCGGAAUUCCCAGUGUAGAGGUGAAAUUCGUAGAGAUUGGGAGGAACACCGGCGGCGAAAGCGGCUAUCUAGACCGAUAUUGACGCUCAUACGCGAGAGCGUGGGGAGCAAACAGG
Molecule: ribosomal RNA, 253 nt
Filed under: uncultured bacterium
Lineage: Bacteria
Description: partial 16S ribosomal RNA
Rfam family: Bacterial small subunit ribosomal RNA
Source: RNAcentral